Molecule: small RNA, 580 nt
Filed under: Oryza sativa Japonica Group (Japanese rice)
Lineage: Eukaryota; Viridiplantae; Streptophyta; Magnoliopsida; Poales; Poaceae
Description: sRNA Os04g0643401
Source: RNAcentral
UGAGACUUAGAUCGCGUAGUGGGUGAUGUGAACGACGUCCUCGGGCCUUGACGGCGGGUGGGUCUUGUUCCUCAUCCGCAGCUGCUGGUACUCGCUGUACAGGAACCUCCUGUACCGCGGCGCCUCCCCGAUCUUCUCCGUGUACUCCGGCAGCGGCUCAACCCAUCUGUCGCCGUGAACGUUGAAGAAGAAGACCAGCGAGUGCCUGUGCACCGCCGGCUUCCUCACCACCCGUAGUGUUGUGCAGUCACCUGUAUGACGUCGCCGAUGUUGACGAUGAUGCUGCCCUCGACGGGGUCGACGGGGACCCAGGCGCCAUCCUUGAGGACCUCGAGGCCGCCAACGCCGUCCUGGAGAACGAAGGUGAUGCAGUUGCCGUCCUCGUGCUCGCUGACGCCGUUGUUCUCCUCCGCCGUCGCCGGGGAGUAGCGCAGCGCCGCAAUGAAGUCGAAGCUGCGGUCGCCGUUGUACUCCUUGAGGAAGCCCGGCGGGAGGCCCAUGCACUUGUUCAGGAUCUCCUGGAUGAGCACGCCCAGCUCCGUGAGCUUGCCGUACAACUCAUAUAAUGCCUCCCUGAUGA